CAAGGUGGCCAAGUGGUUAAGGUGAUGGACUACUCAUCCACUGUGCUCUGCAUGCAUGGGUUCAAGUCCCAUCCUUGUC
Molecule: transfer RNA, 79 nt
Filed under: Cervus elaphus hippelaphus
Lineage: Eukaryota; Metazoa; Chordata; Mammalia; Artiodactyla; Cervidae
Description: tRNA-Ser
Rfam family: tRNA
About the family: Transfer RNA (tRNA) molecules are approximately 80 nucleotides in length. Their secondary structure includes four short double-helical elements and three loops (D, anti-codon, and T loops). Further hydrogen bonds mediate the characteristic L-shaped molecular structure. tRNAs have two regions of fundamental functional importance: the anti-codon, which is responsible for specific mRNA codon recognition, and the 3' end, to which the tRNAs corresponding amino acid is attached (by aminoacyl-tRNA synthetases). tRNAs cope with the degeneracy of the genetic code in two manners: having more than one tRNA (with a specific anti-codon) for a particular amino acid; and 'wobble' base-pairing, i.e. permitting non-standard base-pairing at the 3rd anti-codon position.
Source: RNAcentral